RNAcentral lists this ribosomal RNA (431 nucleotides) under uncultured bacterium. RNAcentral describes it as "bacterial SSU rRNA". It matches the Rfam family "Bacterial small subunit ribosomal RNA", at positions 355 to 796 of the family's 1533-position model. The record is from RNAcentral.
UCGAGGAUCUUCGGCAAUGGGCGCAAGCCUGACCGAGCGACGCCGCGUGUGCGAUGAAGGCCUUCGGGUUGUAAAGCACUGUCGAGGGGGAGGAAGCCGCAAGGUUGACCUAUCCCUGGAGGAAGCACGGGCUAAGUUCGUGCCAGCAGCCGCGGUAAGACGAACCGUGCGAACGUUGUUCGGAAUCACUGGGCUUAAAGGGCGCGUAGGCGGGUGACCAAGUCAGGGGUGAAAUCUUUCGGCUCAACCGGAAAACAGCCUUUGAUACUGGUCGUCUGGAGGGAGGUAGGGGCAUGUGGAACUUCCGGUGGAGCGGUGAAAUGUGUUGAUAUCGGAAGGAACGCCGGUGGCGAAAGCGACGUGCUGGACCUCUUCUGACGCUGAGGCGCGAAAGCUAGGGGAGCGAACGGGAUUAGAUACCCCCGUAGUCC